This 857-nucleotide ribosomal RNA is filed under the name uncultured bacterium. Its description in RNAcentral is "bacterial SSU rRNA". It matches the Rfam family "Bacterial small subunit ribosomal RNA", at positions 48 to 916 of the family's 1533-position model. The record is from RNAcentral.
CUUACACAUGCAGUCGAACGAUGAAGCUGGAGCUUGCUCCGGUGGAUUAGUGGCGAACGGGUGAGUAACACGUGAGCAAUCUGCCCUUGACUCUGGGAUAACUGCGGGAAACUGUAGCUAAUACCGGAUAUUUUCCUUGGUGGGCAUCCACUGGGGAAGAAAGAAUUUCGGUCAAGGAUGAGCUCGCGGCCUAUCAGCUAGUUGGUGAGGUAAUGGCUCACCAAGGCGACGACGGGUAGCCGGCCUGAGAGGGCGACCGGCCACACUGGGACUGAGACACGGCCCAGACUCCUACGGGAGGCAGCAGUGGGGAAUAUUGGGCAAUGGAGGAAACUCUGACCCAGCGACGCCGCGUGAGGGAUGAAGGCCUUCGGGUUGUAAACCUCUUUCAGUAGGGAAGAAGCGAAAGUGACGGUACCUACAGAAGAAGCACCGGCUAACUAUGUGCCAGCAGCCGCGGUAAUACAUAGGGUGCAAGCGUUGUCCGGAAUUAUUGGGCGUAAAGAGCUCGUAGGUGGUUCGAUACGUCGGAUGUGAAAAUCAGGGGCUCAACCCCUGACCUGCAUCCGAUACGGUCGAGCUAGAGUUUGGUAGGGGAGACUGGAAUUCCUGGUGUAGCGGUGGAAUGCGCAGAUAUCAGGAGGAACACCGAUGGCGAAGGCAGGUCUCUGGGCCAAUACUGACACUGAGGAGCGAAAGCGUGGGGAGCGAACAGGAUUAGAUACCCUGGUAGUCCACGCCGUAAACGGUGGGCGCUAGUUGUGCGAACCUUCCACGGUUUGUGCGACGCAGCUAACGCAUUAAGCGCCCCGCCUGGGGAGUACGAUCGCAAGAUUAAAACUCAAAGGAAUUGACGG